Molecule: non-coding RNA, 21 nt
Filed under: Arabidopsis thaliana (thale cress)
Lineage: Eukaryota; Viridiplantae; Streptophyta; Magnoliopsida; Brassicales; Brassicaceae
Source: RNAcentral
UGGUGUGGCAAAGUGAUACUC